AUGCAACGUCACCACCCAAUCGCCUUCCUGAGCCAAGCGCUAGGCCCUCGACAUCAUGUUUUAUCUACCCACGAGAAGGAAUGUCUUGCCAUCCUCCUGGCAAUGGAGCGAUGGUGACCUUACCUGCUGCAGUCUGAGUUCACCAUCCGCACAGACAAUCGCAACCUUGCUUGUCUCAAUGAGCAACGACUGACGACGCCUUGGCAACACAAGGCACUGUCGAAACUGUUGGGGCUGCAAUACAUAAUUGAGUACCGCAAAGGGCAACAAACCUAG
RNAcentral lists this ribosomal RNA (276 nucleotides) under Triticum aestivum (bread wheat). RNAcentral's name for it is "partial small subunit ribosomal RNA". The record is from RNAcentral. Lineage: Eukaryota; Viridiplantae; Streptophyta; Magnoliopsida; Poales; Poaceae.